Molecule: ribosomal RNA, 399 nt
Filed under: Amanita sp.
Lineage: Eukaryota; Fungi; Basidiomycota; Agaricomycetes; Agaricales; Amanitaceae
Description: LSU rRNA
Rfam family: Eukaryotic large subunit ribosomal RNA
Source: RNAcentral
GGGGUGUGUUUAUAGCUGUUAGUCAUAUACAGNAGUUGGGACUGAGGAAAGCAGCGUGCCAUUUAGGCAGGGUUUCGACCACAUUCGCGCUUAGGAUGUUGGCAUAAAUGGCUUUAAGCGACCCGUCUUGAAACACGGACCAAGGAGUCUAACAUGCCUGCGAGUGUUUGGGUGGCAAAACCCAUGCGCGCAAUGAAAGUGAAAGUUGAGAACCUCUUCAAUGAAGGAGCAUCGACGCCCGGACCAGAACUUUUGGGACGGAUCCGCGGUAGAGCAAGCAUGUUGGGACCCGAAAGAUGGUGAACUAUGCCUGAAUAGGGCGAAGCCAGAGGAAACUCUGGUGGAGGCUCGUAGCGAUUCUGACGUGCAAAUCGAUCGUCGAAUUUGGGUAUAGGGGCG